RNAcentral lists this long non-coding RNA (295 nucleotides) under Ananas comosus (pineapple). Its description in RNAcentral is "long non-coding RNA (ACOM_LNC043460)". Lineage: Eukaryota; Viridiplantae; Streptophyta; Magnoliopsida; Poales; Bromeliaceae. The record is from RNAcentral.
UUGGUUUGGAAAGCCAUUUGAAUGGUUCCGGGAAAGUUCGGUGAAGUUCGGGAGCAUACGGGCGUUUUGGUGCGCGUAGGCGCGAAAACGGAACCCGAAAGGCUAUGUUGGACCAUGAACUAAAUCCGGCAUUAGCGUGGAUGAAAAGAUGAUGAAAAUAUGCUCGAAAACAUGUUUGGAGAGUCUCGAUUCGAUUUGAAACGAAUCGGAUGUCAAACGAGCGAAAACGAGCGAAAACGGAGCGAAAACGGUGAAAAAGCUGAAAAUUUGGCUAAGUCCUAAAUGUUGGAAUUCU